GUGGAUUAAGGCAUUGGAUUGUGAAUCCAUCAUGCGCGGGUUCAAUUCCCGUCGUUCGCC
RNAcentral lists this transfer RNA (60 nucleotides) under Lecythis minor. RNAcentral describes it as "tRNA-His". It matches the Rfam family "tRNA", at positions 15 to 71 of the family's 71-position model. Rfam says of the family: Transfer RNA (tRNA) molecules are approximately 80 nucleotides in length. The record is from RNAcentral. Lineage: Eukaryota; Viridiplantae; Streptophyta; Magnoliopsida; Ericales; Lecythidaceae.